UGAGGAACAUGACCUUCGGCGGGGGAUAGCCGGCCCAACGGCCGGGUAAUACCGCGUACGACCACAUGGGGACAUCCCUGAGUGGUGAAAGCAGCAAUGCGCCGAUGGAGUGCCUCGCGGCCUAUCAGCUAGUUGGUGAGGUAACGGCUCACCAAGGCGACGACGGGUAGCUGGUCUGAGAGGAUGGCCAGCCACAUUGGGACUGAGACACGGCCCAGACCUCGUAACCGGGGAGG
RNAcentral lists this ribosomal RNA (236 nucleotides) under uncultured bacterium. Its description in RNAcentral is "partial 16S ribosomal RNA". It matches the Rfam family "Bacterial small subunit ribosomal RNA", at positions 118 to 347 of the family's 1533-position model. The record is from RNAcentral.